AGGAUGAACGCUGGCGGUCUGCUUAACACAUGCAAGUCGAACGGAGUAGCAAUACUUAGUGGCGGACGGGUGAGUAACGCGUGAGAAUCUACCUUCAGGACGGAGACAACAGUUGGAAACGACUGCUAACCCCCGAUGUACCGCAAGGGCAAAUAUUUAUAGCCUGAAGAAGAGCUCGCGUCCGAUUAGCUAGUUGGAGAGGUAAAAGCUCACCAAGGCGACGAUCGGUAGCUGGUCUGAGAGGACGAUCAGCCACACUGGGACUGAGACACGGCCCAGACUCCUACGGGAGGCAGCAGUGGGAAUUUUCCGCAAUGGGCGAAAGCCUGACGGAGCAAGACCGCGUGGGGGAAGAAGGCUCUUGGGUUGUAAACCCCUUUUCUCUGGGAAGAACACAAUGACGGUACCAGAGGAAUCAGCAUCGGCUAACUCCGUGCCAGCAGCCGC
This 447-nucleotide ribosomal RNA is filed under the name uncultured bacterium. Its description in RNAcentral is "SSU rRNA". It matches the Rfam family "Bacterial small subunit ribosomal RNA", at positions 26 to 518 of the family's 1533-position model. The record is from RNAcentral.